This 320-nucleotide ribosomal RNA is filed under the name Enterococcus faecium. Its description in RNAcentral is "bacterial SSU rRNA". It matches the Rfam family "Bacterial small subunit ribosomal RNA", at positions 1 to 299 of the family's 1533-position model. The record is from RNAcentral. Lineage: Bacteria; Bacillati; Bacillota; Bacilli; Lactobacillales; Enterococcaceae.
UUUUAUGAGAGUUUGAUCCUGGCUCAGGACGAACGCUGGCGGCGUGCCUAAUACAUGCAAGUCGAACGCUUCUUUUUCCACCGGAGCUUGCUCCACCGGAAAAAGAAGAGUGGCGAACGGGUGAGUAACACGUGGGUAACCUGCCCAUCAGAAGGGGAUAACACUUGGAAACAGGUGCUAAUACCGUAUAACAAUCAAAACCGCAUGGUUUUGAUUUGAAAGGCGCUUUCGGGUGUCGCUGAUGGAUGGACCCGCGGUGCAUUAGCUAGUUGGUGAGGUAACGGCUCACCAAGGCCACGAUGCAUAGCCGACCUGAGAGG